GGUCUGGGCGGGGCAGCGGCCGAGGCUGGACUGGGGCGCGGCGGGGGCGGUGUCCUGGUUCCUGUGUGGGCGGCGGGCGUGAGCGUGCGCGUGUGGCCUGGUGGCUGUGAGUGCCCAUACGUAGUGAGCGUGCGGUGCUGCGCUGAGGAGGGGCGAGCGCGCGCGGGGAUGGCGGCCCGGUGUGUGACUGUCCGGUGUGUGGCCGCGAAUCUGCGCCUGCGUGCAUGUCCCGGCGGCGUGCGGAAGGCGGUGUGUGUUGGAAUGAGUGAAGCACUUUAAGUGGCCAAGAGCAGGAAACCCGGCCGGAGGAGGCUUACCCCGUUCUCCCCUGUAUCGACUGCGUAGAGCCCAGUGUGGGCAAAGUCCUAGAGCCCGGGGAAGUUGCCCGGGCGGGGCAGCCUCGGCUGAAGCAUUUCCUGUCAGCCCUAUCUGGAAGGGGCAGAGCCCAGGACAGGGCUCCAUGUCCACAGGACAGCGAGGAGCGAAGACCAUGGGGACUGAGUACACAGAUGAAGACACAGAAGCAUAGAGAGGAUAAGUAAUCACUAGCAAGUGGAAGAACCGGGAUUCAGAUCCAGAACAGGCUGACUCCAGAGUCACUGGCUGUCAUGUAGUCUCCUCAACUACUGCCUCAGGAAACAUGGCUCAGUGGAGUCAAGGGACUGCUUCA
RNAcentral lists this long non-coding RNA (670 nucleotides) under Pan troglodytes (chimpanzee). RNAcentral's name for it is "long non-coding RNA NONPTRT008250". The record is from RNAcentral. Lineage: Eukaryota; Metazoa; Chordata; Mammalia; Primates; Hominidae.